CCUACGGGUGGCAGCAGUGGGGAAUAUUGGACAAUGGGGGCAACCCUGAUCCAGCCAUGCCGCGUGUGUGAAGAAGGCCCUCGGGUUGGAAAGCACUUUCAGUGAGGAAGAACGCCUGGUGGUUAAUACCCAUCAGGAAAGACAUCACUCACAGAAGAAGCACCGGCUAACUCCGUGCCAGCAGCCGCGGUAAUACGGAGGGUGCGAGCGUUAAUCGGAAUUACUGGGCGUAAAGCGCGCGUAGGUGGCUUGAUAAGCCGGUUGUGAAAGCCCCGGGCUCAACCUGGGAACGGCAUCCGGAACUGUCAAGCUAGAGUGUAGGAGAGGAAGGUAGAAUUCCCGGUGUAGCGGUGAAAUGCGUAGAGAUCGGGAGGAAUACCAGUGGCGAAGGCGGCCUUCUGGACUGACACUGACACUGAGGUGCGAAAGCGUGGGUAGCAAACAGGAUUAGAUACCCGAGUAGUC
This 465-nucleotide ribosomal RNA is filed under the name Vreelandella stevensii. RNAcentral describes it as "partial 16S ribosomal RNA". It matches the Rfam family "Bacterial small subunit ribosomal RNA", at positions 338 to 795 of the family's 1533-position model. Lineage: Bacteria; Pseudomonadati; Pseudomonadota; Gammaproteobacteria; Oceanospirillales; Halomonadaceae. The record is from RNAcentral.